This 253-nucleotide ribosomal RNA is filed under the name uncultured bacterium. Its description in RNAcentral is "partial 16S ribosomal RNA". It matches the Rfam family "Bacterial small subunit ribosomal RNA", at positions 524 to 776 of the family's 1533-position model. The record is from RNAcentral.
UACGUAGGGUCCAAGCGUUAUCCGGAAUCACUGGGCGUAAAGCGUGCGUAGGUGGUUCGUUAAGUCUGUCGUGAAAGCCCCGGGCUCAACCUGGGAAUGGCGAUGGAUACUGGCGGGCUAGAGUGCGGUAGAGGAGAGUGGAAUUCCCGGUGUAGCAGUGAAAUGCGUAGAGAUCGGGAGGAACAUCAGUUGCGAAGGCGGCUCUCUGGACCAGCACUGACACUGAGGCACGAAAGCGUGGGGAGCAAACAGG